RNAcentral lists this ribosomal RNA (461 nucleotides) under uncultured Sphingobacteriales bacterium. RNAcentral describes it as "bacterial SSU rRNA". It matches the Rfam family "Bacterial small subunit ribosomal RNA", at positions 920 to 1382 of the family's 1533-position model. The record is from RNAcentral. Lineage: Bacteria; Pseudomonadati; Bacteroidota; Sphingobacteriia; Sphingobacteriales.
CCCGCACAAGCGGUGGAGCAUGUGGUUUAAUUCGAUGAUACGCGAGAAACCUUACCAGGGCUUGACAUAUACAGGAAUGUUGUAGAGAUACAGCAGCCGCUUGCGGUCUGUAUACAGGUGCUGCAUGGCUGUCGUCAGCUCGUGCUGUGAGGUGUCGGGUUAAGUCCCAUAACGAGCGCAACCCUACCUUUAGUUGCCAUCAGGUAAUGCUGGGGACUCUAAAGGAACUGCCUACGCAAGUAGUGAGGAAGGCGGGGAUGACGUCAAAUCAGCACGGCCCUUACGUCCAGGGCUACACACGUGCUACAAUGGCCGAUACAGAGGGCAGCUACCUGGUGACAGGAUGCAAAUCUCCAAAGUCGGUCUCAGUUCGGAUCGGAGUCUGCAACCCGACUCCGUGAAGUUGGAUUCGCUAGUAAUCGCGCAUCAGCCAUGGCGCGGUGAAUACGUUCCCGGGCCUU